Rosa rugosa (rugosa rose) is the source of this 4943-nucleotide RNA transcript. RefSeq lists it as uncharacterized. NCBI's taxonomy places the organism in Eukaryota, Viridiplantae, Streptophyta, Magnoliopsida, Rosales, Rosaceae. The transcript has 15 exons. The record is from RefSeq and is a predicted model, not a curated record.
CUUUCAGCCUUUUUCACAGUCCGUCUCUCGUCUCAGAAUCUCAUUCCCUUUGUGAAACUUCCAUACUUCUCUCACUCCUUUUGAACCCUCAGCCCCACUCGCCACCUUCACAUAAAACAAUCUCAAUCUCCCCCAAACACUCAAAUUAGGGCACUGUGUUUGAAAGCUCCACAUUGACGAUUUCUUCGAGGGCGCAGUUGAGGCGUUUCUUGUUGGAGAAGUAUGAGUUUGGGGCUUACAAAGUGGAAUUGCUGUGUUAGGUUGCGGAAUUAAGUAGCAGAGAUGAUUGCAGAGAAGCCCAGUUGGAUUAGGCAUGAGGGUUUGCAAAUUUUCUCCAUUGAUGUUCAGCCUGGUGGGCUUAGGGUUGCCACUGGUGGGGGUGACCACAAGCACCCAAUUUCAUUGACUGGGAAUGUCUUGCACCUGUUGGGUGGACCAAUGGCACUUCAAAAAUAGCAAUCGGGGGUCAGGAUCAUACAAUAACUUUAUGGACGACUGCAAGUCCCCGCCCUCUCUUUGUAGCAAAGCAUUUCUUCACUCAUUUAAAGUGUUGUGGAUUUAUCUUGGAGCCCCGAUGGUUAUUCACUUUUCGCAUGUUCUUUGGACGGUUCAGUGGCUACUUUCCAUUUUGAGGUGAAAGAGCUUGGCCACCAGUUAAGUGAUGCUGAACUAGAUGAAUUAAAGAGAAGUCGUUAUGGUGAUGUUACAGGUAGGCAGGUAAACUUAGCAGAAACCCCAGCACAGUUAUUGCCUGAGGCAGCUUCUGCUAAGCAAGCCCCAAAGAGAAAAGUGGUUCGGGAUGUUCAGCAAAGCCAGACAGUCAAACCUUCUGCGGAUGUGGUGGUUGCAACAAAAGUAUCUGAGGGUCAAGUUGAUGAUAGGAAGAAGAGUGGAGGAGCUUCUAGUGAUGUUUUAAAUAAAGUUUCAAUGCCUGCCCGCAUUUCUAGUCCUGUAAAGAAAAGAGAAUAUAGACGACCUGAUGGUCGAAAGAGGAUUAUUCCAGAGGCAGUUGGUGUGCCUCUCCAGAAGGAAAAUAUUUCUGUUGGGGCUCAGUCCCAGGCACUUGACUUCCCUCUAAUGCCUUCUGAUCACAGAAAGGAUGAUAGUGGGUUAGUUGCUGCUGAUAGGGGGAUUAAAGAAAAUUCUAUCAGGGAAACACUUGUGAGAGGCAAUGACAUAAAGGACGAACAGGGGGUCACCGCUAGAGCUAUGAUUACCAACAGCCUUGUUAUUGAGAAGGUUCCCACCUCCACAGGUAGAGAUGAAAGCAUAAAUAUAGAACAGUCAGGAGCUGUAAAGGCUUCUAAUUCAAUAUGUGAUUCUAGUCCUAUUCUUUCAAUUAGGGUGCUUGACAAGAAGAAAACGGAAGAUGCUGUACCAUAUUGCUUGGAAGCUCGGCCUAAGGAACAUGCUGCAAAUGACAUUAUUAACAUGGGAAAUUCAUUGAUCAUGAAAGAAACAGAAAUCACCUGCACAAAAGGGUUGCAAAUCUUUGGUCUGAUAGAAUAUCUGGGAAAGUCACUGUUUUAGCUGGAAUUGCAAACUUCUGGGCUGUGGGAUGUGAAGAUGGAUGCAUCCAGGUUUACACAAAGUGUGGGAGACGUGCUAUGCCGACUAUGAUGGUAGGAUCCGCAGCAGUUUUUAUAGAUUGUGAUGAGUGCUGGAAGUUGUUUUUGGUCACCAGAAAAGGAUCCUUGUAUCUAUGGGAUCUAUUAAAGCGGAAUUGUCUCCUUCAUGACUCGCUGUCAUCUCUGGUUGCUUUAAACCCAAAUCCAUCUGCAAACGAUGCAGGCAUGAUCAAGGUUAUAUCAGCAAAGCUAUCAAGAUCUGGAUCUCCUCUUGUUGUUCUCGCUACUCGCCAUGCCUUCCUCUUUGACAUGGGACUGAUGUGUUGGCUUAGGGUUGCAGAUGACUGCUUUUCUGGGUCAAAUUUUGCAAGCUCCUGGCAUUUGGGUUUGACUCAGAGCGGUGAGCUGGCUGGUUUGCAGGUUGAUGUUAAGAAAUAUUUGGCUAGGAAGCCAGGUUGGAGCAGGGUGACUGACGAUGGAGUAUAGACACGUGCUCAUUUGGAAACUCAGCUGGCUUCUUUGCUGGCUUUAAAGUCCCCUAAUGAAUAUCGCCAAUGCCUUCUAUCAUAUAUACGGUUCCUUGCCAGAGAAGCAGAUGAGUCUCGUCUACGAGAAGUUUGUGAGAGUUUCCUUGGACCUCCUACUGGAAUGGUGGAAGCUACCUCUUUAGAUUCAAAGAACUUGGCAUGGGAUCCUUUUGUGCUUGGACCUUUGGGCUUCAUCCCAAAUUUUGGAAGGCUAGGAUCUUGGAAUGUGAUCAUGUUUCUAACCUUUGAUCUUGGAAUAUAGAAAGAAAGAAGACGGCAUCUUGCUUCUGCGGAUGGUAUUGCCCAUGGUUUUGAUCUGAUGGGAGAUGAAGACAUCAACGACCGUUUUGAUCUGGAUUCUGCCGACACAGAGGAAAAGAGAGAAAUAUCAGCCUCUGGAAAUUGACCUAGCCCAUGAAGCUACUUCGUAUAUGUAAUUUUGCUGACGGAGUCUUCAACAUCAGGGGUAACUCAUUUCAUAUAAGAAUAUUUUGUAGACAAUGUCUGUUGGAAGCAUGUUGUGCACCACAUCGAAGCAUGUAAGGUUGUCCUGCCUGGACAUGCUGAGUUUGAGGCAUGUGAUAUUAUCUUGCCUUCAGAACCUUACUCCACAAGGACUCUGGGUUUUUGAUCAAGCGCUAGCACUGCUUUGCCAAGAGGGCCUUGUUAUAUGUCAAAAGCUCUUUAAAGCCAAUACCCUCCUCUAACAUACUUUUGCAGAGAAUAUCCCAUGCUUUCCAGUGAAUUUUUCCUUUUGUGCCAUUUGAUCCCCACCAGAAAUUGGCAAUAUCAGAGUUUCAUUGUUCAUUUGGCUAUAACACUUUGAUCUCAAGUAAUUGCUAAAAACUACUCCCAAACGUCAUAAUUGUCGAAUUAUCCUAGAGUUUGCAAAAUGAGGUUAGGUGCUCAAUAAAAUGUCCAUUUCUUUUUUUGGGAGAAUAGCUUAAAACCGACAAUUUAUCAAUUUGACACGAAGUGCCGGUUUUAAGAAUUCCUAAACAGCUGUGAUUUUGAAAAAAUGGAUAACCGAUGUACCAAAAAGAUGAACCACCGAGGUGGACUGAAGUAAAAAAAUAUUCUGUUCAAAAGCCCAACAGCAGAGCCCACCCCACUAACUCAUAAUCGUUCAUAACCCAUUGCUCCUGCCCUUCUUCUUCGAACCCGCGAUACCCACCGUCUCACUCUGAAAGAGUCAUAGUCCCAACGAGGGCUCUCCCGGAGCAAAAAACUUGCCGGCGGAGACCGUCACAGUCGCUUGCCCUGACCACCUCGUCCUCGCCGACCUUCCGGUCUCGUCGUCAGCUCGGUGAACGUGUUCGCUGUGAUUUCCCGAUUGCUAUCUAUGGAAGACUAGCUAGGACCUUUGGGCUUCAUCCCAAAUUUUGGAAGGCUAGGAUCUUGGAAUGUGAUCAUGUUUCUAACCUUUGAUCAGCCAAUCGACCCUGAACUUUAUCGAUGAUGGAGGCAUAAGUGUGCUUGGUGACUCGAGAGUGCAGCAAAGGCAUCCCCAAGUAUUUGCCGAGGUUGGUAGUAAGAGCAGAACCACAAAUGGCACUUAUAUUUUUAGCAAGCAUUUUAUCAGUAUUAGGAGAACAAAAAAGCAUAGAUUUAUUGUAACUCACUUCUUGACCAGAGAGCUCACAGAACAAAUCAAGGCACUUCUUUAAAACUCUAGCUUGAUCACAAGUAGCUUCGGAGAAUAAUAUCAAGUCAUCUGCAAAAAAUAAAUGGGAGAUAAGUGGACCAGAUCCAGAUGCACUUUGAUCUCAAGUAAUUGCUGAAAACUACUCCCAAACGUCAUAAUUGUCGACUUAUCCUAGAGUUUGCAAAAUGAGUUUAGGUGCUCAAUAAAAUGUCCAUUUUUUUUGGGAGAAUAGCUUCAUUUUGUCAAUUUGACACGAAGUGUCGGUUUUAAGAAUUCCUAAACAGCUGUGAUUUUGAAAAAAUAGAUAACCGAUGUUAUGGUGCGGUUUUCGGUCAAUACCAAAAAAAAGAUGAACCACCCAGUCCACCUCAAGUAAAAAAAUUUCUGUUCAAAAGCCCAACAGCAGAGCCCACCCCACUAACCCAUAAUCGUUCAUAACCCAUUGCUCCUGCCCUUCUUCUUCGAACCCGCGAAACCCACCGUCUCACUCUCAAAGAGUCAAAGUCUCAACGAGGGCUCUCCCGGAGCAAAAAACUUGCCGGCGGAGACCGUCACAGUCGCUUGCCCUGACCACCUCGUCCUCGCCGACCUUCCGGUCUCGUCGUCAGCUCGGUGAACGUGUUCGCUGUGAUUUCCCGAUUGCUAUCUAUGGAAGACUAGGACCUUUGGCCUUUUAUGAGGGCUUCAUCCCAAAUUUUGGAAGGCUAGGAUCUUGGAAUGUGAUCAUGUUUCUAACCUUUGAUCAGGCAGGCUAAGAAGUUCAUGAAAAGUAUAGAGUCAAAAUGAGAAGUGAAGCCAAGAGAGUGGUUUUAGUUUGUAGAGAAAACAGUAGUUGUUUUAGAGAAUAAUAAGGACCUCGACAAACCUUUUUCUCCCAUAUUUCAGCUAGCUGAGAAGAAGAAUCCUCUGAAGGAAAACUGCUUACUGGAAACUUCAAAAUUUAGGAAAUAAUUAGCUUUCGUUUUCUGGAUUACAUAUCUUUCAUUGUCAUCAUAUAUUGAUGAGUUGUGAUUAUUAAAUUUGUCUAUCAAGGCUUUAAUUGCUUUGUUUGCAAAGCCAAAUGCUAAAUCUUUGUCGUCACCAAUGAAUGAUGGCUUGCAGACAUACUCUUGGAUUUUCUUUUCUGGUAGAUGAUUCAUCAGUUACUGAAAACGACGGUAUAACAUGAAUGCUGAUGCAUAUUUUUUAAACAGUAAAAGAAGG